Molecule: ribosomal RNA, 200 nt
Filed under: uncultured bacterium
Lineage: Bacteria
Description: partial 16S ribosomal RNA
Rfam family: Bacterial small subunit ribosomal RNA
Source: RNAcentral
ACGCUCGACACCUACUGGAGGCAGCAGUGGGGAAUAUUGCACAAUGGGGGAAACCCUGAUGCAGCGACGCCGCGUGAGCGAAGAAGUAUUUCGGUAUGUAAAGCUCUAUCAGCAGGGAAGAAACUGACGGUACCUGACUAAGAAGCACCGGCUAAAUACGUGCCAGCAGCCGCGUAAUAUGAGGCGGCGGUCGCGAGACG